GCAGAUGCAAGAUCUUAAUUUGAGACAUUUGGUACAGGGAAAUUAAAUUUGAAUUAUUAUUAUGGAUUAAAAUGAAUGGACAUUUUUGUAGGAGUUGAUACAUUUUAAGGGAAAUUCAGGUUGGACAUUUCAAAGUGAAAUUAAAAAACUUCAGAAGCCUUUUUAAACCUCAAAUACACUUACCCUGCAACCCUCAUUCAUGUGUUGUUGACACUCACUCGGAAGGGGAUUGGCAGAGGCAUAAGGUUACUGAGAGUUUCAUUAGUUAGUUAAACCAGAAGGGGAUUGGCAGAGGCAUAAGGUUACUGAGAGUUUCAUUAGUUAGUUAAACCAGAAGGGGAUUGGCAGAGGCAUAAGGUUACUGAGAGUUUCAUUAGUUAGUUAAACCAGAAGGGGAUUGGCAGAGGCAUAAGGUUACUGAGAGUUUCAUUAGUUAGUUAAACCAGAAGGGGAUUGGCAGAGGCAUAAGGUUACUGAGAGUUUCAUUAGUUAGUUAAACCAGAAGGGGAUUGGCAGAGGCAUAAGGUUACUGAGAGUUUCAUUAGUUAGUUAAACCAGAAGGGGAUUGGCAGAGGCAUAAGGUUACUGAGAGUUUCAUUAGUUAGUUAAACCAGAAGGGGAUUGGCAGAGGCAUAAGGUUACUGAGAGUUUCAUUAGUUAGUUAAACCAGAAGGGGAUUGGCAGAGGCAUAAGGUUACUGAGAGUUUCAUUAGUUAGUUAAACCAGAAGGGGAUUGGCAGAGGCAUAAGGUUACUGAGAGUUUCAUUAGUUAGUUAAACCAGAAGGGGAUUGGCAGAGGCAUAAGGUUACUGAGAGUUUCAUUAGUUAGUUAAACCAGAAGGGGAUUGGCAGAGGCAUAAGGUUACUGAGAGUUUCAUUAGUUAGUUAAACCAGAAGGGGAUUGGCAGAGGCAUAAGGUUACUGAGAGUUUCAUUAGUUAGUUAAACCAGAAGGGGAUUGGCAGAGGCAUAAGGUUACUGAGAGUUUCAUUAGUUAGUUAAACCAGAAGGGGAUUGGCAGAGGCAUAAGGUUACUGAGAGUUUCAUUAGUUAGUUAAACCAGAAGGGGAUUGGCAGAGGCAUAAGGUUACUGAGAGUUUCAUUAGUUAGUUAAACCAGAAGGGGAUUGGCAGAGGCAUAAGGUUACUGAGAGUUUCAUUAGUUAGUUAAACCAGAAGGGGAUUGGCAGAGGCAUAAGGUUACUGAGAGUUUCAUUAGUUAGUUAAGUCUGGACACUGCUAUAGCAAAUUGAAUUCCAGACUGUUUAUUUGACAUUUAGCAAACGUACUUAUCCAGAGCAAAUGGGGUUCAGUGCCUUGCUCAACGGCACAUCAACAGGUUUUUCUCC
Oncorhynchus keta (chum salmon) is the source of this 1347-nucleotide long non-coding RNA. RefSeq lists it as uncharacterized. The record is from RefSeq and is a predicted model, not a curated record. Lineage: Eukaryota; Metazoa; Chordata; Actinopteri; Salmoniformes; Salmonidae. The transcript is spliced from 4 exons.